AUGGCUCGCGUCGUCGGCGUGCCGCCGUUCCUCCUCGUCUCCCUCCUCGCAUUAUCGUCCGUGGCCCUUGCCGACAUGGUGCUCGGCCGCAAGGGCAGUACAGUGGAGGAGCCCGAGCCAGCGGAUGUGCAGUUGCCGGGGGUGAGCAAGUACGCUGUGAUCUUCGACGCCGGGAGCACGGGAACGCGUGUGCACGUCUUCAAGUUUGACAACAAGAUGGAACUCCUGAAGAUCGAUGACCAGGUCGAGGUCUUCGCCAAGGUGUCCCCCGGGCUGAGCUCCUACUCUGGGCGGCCACUGGAAGCUGCCAAGUCCGUGAUACCACUGCUCGACAAGGCAAAGGGCACCGUGCCUUGGUGGCAAAUGAACAGAACUCCUCUUAAACUAGGGGCCACGGCUGGGCUGAGACUUAUCGGAGAUAAGCAAUCAGAGCAGAUCCUGGAAGCGGUCAGGGAUAUUGUCCACACCAAGAGCAAAUUCCAGUACAACUCAAAGUGGAUCAAUGUUCUCGAGGGAUCUCAGGAAGGCUCUUACAUGUGGGUUGCUCUGAACUAUCUGUUGGAUAGAUUGGGAGGAGACUACUCCAAGACGGUAGGCGUGAUCGACCUUGGAGGCGGCUCCGUCCAAAUGGCGUACGCCGUCUCUCCAAACGCUGCCGCAAACGCCCCGGCGGUGCCUGAUGGCAAGGACCCUUACAUCACCAAGGAGUACUUGAAGGGAAAAGACUACAACGUCUACGUCCACAGCUACCUGUACUACGGCAACAUGGCUGCUCGCGUGGAGAUCCUCAAGGCAAAGUCGGGCCCGUUCAGCUCGUGCAUGCUACGCGGAUCCACCGGUAACUACACCUACAACGGCGAGGUAUACGAAGCGGCGGCCGCGCCAGAAGGCGCCGUAUACAGGAAGUGCAGGAAGGAGGUAGCCAGGGCACUGAAGCUAGACGCGCCGUGCGAAGCCAAGAACUGCACCUUCGGCGGCGUGUGGGGCGGCGGUGGCGGCGCCGGGCAGGCGACACUUUAUGCAGCCUCCUCCUUCUACGUCAAGGCCUCCCAGGUCGGAUGGGUUAAGAAGGGCACCCCGAGCGCCAGGUCUAGCCCGGCGGCGUUCAGGGCAGCGGCGGUGAAGAUCUGCCGGCUUAGCCUUGAGGAGGCGCAGACGGCCUAUCCCGGGGUGCGCGAAGUGCCCUACAUCUGCAUGGACCUGGUGUACCAGUACACACUGCUCGUCUACGGGUUCGGGUUGACACGGGCGAGGGAGAUCACCCUGGUGGAGAAAGUGAAGCACGGGGAAUACUUCAUGGAAGCCAAGUGGCCGCUCGGCGAGGCUAUCGAGGCCGUAGCGCCUAAGAAGCGCAUCCACCAAGAUCCGGUGAAUGUUGCGCGAUCGCUAAUAUGA
This 1395-nucleotide ribosomal RNA is filed under the name Triticum aestivum (bread wheat). RNAcentral's name for it is "partial small subunit ribosomal RNA". Lineage: Eukaryota; Viridiplantae; Streptophyta; Magnoliopsida; Poales; Poaceae. The record is from RNAcentral.